Molecule: ribosomal RNA, 444 nt
Filed under: uncultured bacterium
Lineage: Bacteria
Description: bacterial SSU rRNA
Rfam family: Bacterial small subunit ribosomal RNA
Source: RNAcentral
CCAGACUCCUACGGGAGGCAGCAGUGGGGGAUAUUGCACAAUGGGGGGAACCCUGAUGCAGCGACGCCGCGUGGGUGAAGGAGCACCUCGGUGCGUAAAGCCCUAUCGGCAGGGAAGAAACAGACGGUACCUGACUAAGAAGCCCCGGCUAACUACGUGCCAGCAGCCGCGGGAAUACGUAGGGGGCAAGCGUUAUCCGGAUUCACUGGGUGUAAAGGGAGCGUAGACGGCGACGCAAGUCUGGAGUGAAAGCCCGGGGCCCAACCCCGGGACUGCAUUUGGAACUGUAAGGCUAGAGUGUCGGAGAGGCAGGCGGAAUUCCUAGUGUAGCGGUGAAAUGCGUAGAUAUUAGGAGGAACACCAGUGGCGAAGGCGGUCUGCUGGACAGCAACUGACGCUGAGGCGCGAAAGCGUGGGGAGCAAACAGGAUUAGAUACCCGUGUA